CUGGACGGCGUGGCGGCGUGCUAUACAUGCAGUCGAGCGAACUGAUUAGAAGCUUGCUUCUAUGACGUUAGAGGAGGACGGGUGAGUAACACGUGGGCAACCUGCCUGUAAGACUGGGAUAACUUCGGGAAACCGAAGCUAAUACCGGAUAGGAUCUUCUCCUUCAUGGGAGAUGAUUGAUUCAUGGUUUCGGCUAUCACUUACAGAUGGGCCCGCGGUGCAUUAGCUAGUUGGUGAGGUAACGGCUCACCAAGGCAACGAUGCAUAGCCGACCUGAAAGGUUGAUCGGCCACACUGGGACUGAAACACGGCCCAGACUCCUACUGGAGGCACAAUAAGUCAUCUUCCGCAAUGGACGA
RNAcentral lists this ribosomal RNA (359 nucleotides) under Priestia megaterium. RNAcentral describes it as "bacterial SSU rRNA". It matches the Rfam family "Bacterial small subunit ribosomal RNA", at positions 37 to 378 of the family's 1533-position model. Lineage: Bacteria; Bacillati; Bacillota; Bacilli; Caryophanales; Bacillaceae. The record is from RNAcentral.